RNAcentral lists this ribosomal RNA (1094 nucleotides) under bacterium MAS9. RNAcentral describes it as "bacterial SSU rRNA". It matches the Rfam family "Bacterial small subunit ribosomal RNA", at positions 395 to 1473 of the family's 1533-position model. The record is from RNAcentral.
CGGUGAGUUGUAGAAAGAAAGGUCUUCGGUACUGGUAAAGUCCACGUUGAUGUGGAAGAAAAAGUCACGUUAUGUAAUAGGCUGCUAGCUUUGACGUACUACAGAGAUAAGCACCGGCUAACUACUGUGCCAGCAGCGCGGUAAUACAGUAGGGUGCAAGCGUUAAUCGGAAAUUACUGGGCGUAAAGCGCGCGUAGCGGUUCGUUAAGUCUGAUGUGAAAGCCCCGGGCUCAACCUGGGAGGGUCAUCGAAACUGGCGAGCUAGAGUAUGUAGAGGAGAGUGGAAUUUCAUGUGUAGCGGUGAAAUGCGUAGAGAUAGGAAGGAACACCAGUGGCGAAGGCGACUCUCUGGUCUGAUACUGACACUGAGGUGCGAAAGCGUGGGGAGCGAACAGGAUUAGAUACCCUGGUAGUCACGCCGUAAACGAUGUCAACUAGCCGUAGGAAUCCUCGAGAUUUUAGUGGCGCAGCUAACGCAUUAAGCACUCGCCUGGGGAAUACGGCCGCAAGGUUAAAAACUCAAAUGAAUUGACGGGGGCCCCCACCAAGCGGUGGAGCCAUGUGGUUUAAUUUGAAGCAACGCGAAGAACCUUACCAGGCCUUGACAAGCAUAGAACUUUCCAGAGAAGGAUUGGUGCCUUUGGGAACUAGAACACCGGUGGGGCAAGGGUGUUGUCAAGUUGUGUUGUGAGAAGGUGGGUUAAAUUCCGUAACGAGGGCCACCCUUGUCUUUAGUUACCAGCCAGUUAUGGUGGCCAUUCUAAGGAGACGCCGGGUGCCAACCCGGAGGAAGGUGGGGAGGACGUCAAUUCUUCAUGCCCCUUACGCCUUGGGUUCCCCACGUGUUCCAAUGGUCGGUCCAGAGGGUGGGCAAGCCGGGAGGUGGACCUAUUCUCACAAUACCUUUUCUAGUCGGGAUCCCAUUUGCCAAUUGGAUGGGGUGAAGUGGGAAUCGUUAGUAAUCGCAAAUCGCAAUGUUGGGGUGAAUAGUUUCCCGGCCUUGGUCCCCCCCCCCGGUCCCCCCAGGGGAUUGGUAACCCCCGAAGUUGGUGAGUUUACCUUUUAGGAGCCAGCCGCCCUAGGGGUGUACGGUU